This 168-nucleotide long non-coding RNA is filed under the name Crocodylus porosus (Australian saltwater crocodile). RNAcentral describes it as "lncRNA (ENSCPRG00005017201.1)". Lineage: Eukaryota; Metazoa; Chordata; Crocodylia; Crocodylidae. The record is from RNAcentral.
CAGAACUUCCCUAGCAGUACCAACCAAAGCAUUUUCCUUUCCCAGUUGGAUUGCGUGGAGCCUGGAGGUGAAAGCAUCUGGAUGUUGAACAGGUCAUCAUUAAUUUGCAUGAUCAUGGUGCUGGCAAUCCUACUGCAGGUGGUAUUUCUUUUUAUCAGCAAUAAAUAA